Molecule: ribosomal RNA, 588 nt
Filed under: uncultured Alphaproteobacteria bacterium
Lineage: Bacteria; Pseudomonadati; Pseudomonadota; Alphaproteobacteria
Description: bacterial SSU rRNA
Rfam family: Bacterial small subunit ribosomal RNA
Source: RNAcentral
CCUACGGGAGGCAGCAGUGGGGAAUUUUGGACAAUGGGCGAAAGCCUGAUCCAGCAAUGCCGCGUGUGUGAAGAAGGCCUUCGGGUUGUAAAGCACUUUUGUCCGGAAAGAAAUGGCUCUGGUUAAUACCUGGGGUCGAUGACGGUACCGGAAGAAUAAGGACCGGCUAACUCCGUGCCAGCAGCCGCGGUAAUACGGAGGGAGCUAGCGUUGUUCGGAAUUACUGGGCGUAAAGCGCACGUAGGCGGCUUUGUAAGUCAGGGGUGAAAGCCUGGAGCUCAACUCCAGAACUGCCUUUGAGACUGCAUCGCUUGAAUCCGGGAGAGGUGAGUGGAAUUCCGAGUGUAGAGGUGAAAUUCGUAGAUAUUCGGAAGAAUACCAGUGGCGAAGGCGGCUCACUGGACCGGUAUUGACSCUGAGGUGCGAAAGCGUGGGGAGCAAACAGGAUUARAUACCCUGGUAGUCCACGCCGUAWACGAUGAUAACUASCUGUCCGGGCACUUGGUGCUUGGGKGGCGCAGCUWWCGCAUUWWGUUAUCCGCCYGGGGAGUACGGCCGCAAGGUUAAAACUCAAAUGAAUUGACGGGG